AUCUUUGUGCUUGGGGCAAGGACUUAGUUAAUGAGGUUUAACCGAGGCGGGUCGAUUGCUAAUUGAAAACCAAACUGAUUGAAAUCUACGUCACCCUAACUUGCCUAUUGAAAACAAAUAUCAUUAACCCACUUGUUGAAAAUAUAUAUAUAUA
Molecule: small nuclear RNA, 154 nt
Organism: Nymphaea colorata (pocket water lily)
Lineage: Eukaryota; Viridiplantae; Streptophyta; Magnoliopsida; Nymphaeales; Nymphaeaceae
Product: U4 spliceosomal RNA
Exons: 1
Source: RefSeq, a predicted model, not a curated record